This 1352-nucleotide ribosomal RNA is filed under the name uncultured bacterium. Its description in RNAcentral is "bacterial SSU rRNA". It matches the Rfam family "Bacterial small subunit ribosomal RNA", at positions 28 to 1381 of the family's 1533-position model. The record is from RNAcentral.
AUUGAACGCUGGCGGCAUGCCUUACACAUGCAAGUCGAACGGCAGCACGGAGCUUGCUCUGGUGGCGAGUGGCGAACGGGUGAGUAAUAUAUCGGAACGUACCCUAGAGUGGGGGAUAACGUAGCGAAAGUUACGCUAAUACCGCAUACGAUCUAAGGAUGAAAGUGGGGGAUCGCAAGACCUCAUGCUCGUGGAGCGGCCGAUAUCUGAUUAGCUAGUUGGUAGGGUAAAAGCCUACCAAGGCAUCGAUCAGUAGCUGGUCUGAGAGGACGACCAGCCACACUGGAACUGAGACACGGUCCAGACUCCUACGGGAGGCAGCAGUGGGGAAUUUUGGACAAUGGGCGAAAGCCUGAUCCAGCAAUGCCGCGUGAGUGAAGAAGGCCUUCGGGUUGUAAAGCUCUUUUGUCAGGGAAGAAACGGUGAGAGCUAAUAUCUCUUGCUAAUGACGGUACCUGAAGAAUAAGCACCGGCUAACUACGUGCCAGCAGCCGCGGUAAUACGUAGGGUGCAAGCGUUAAUCGGAAUUACUGGGCGUAAAGCGUGCGCAGGCGGUUUUGUAAGUCUGAUGUGAAAUCCCCGGGCUCAACCUGGGAAUUGCAUUGGAGACUGCAAGGCUAGAAUCUGGCAGAGGGGGGUAGAAUUCCACGUGUAGCAGUGAAAUGCGUAGAUAUGUGGAGGAACACCGAUGGCGAAGGCAGCCCCCUGGGUCAAGAUUGACGCUCAUGCACGAAAGCGUGGGGAGCAAACAGGAUUAGAUACCCUGGUAGUCCACGCCCUAAACGAUGUCUACUAGUUGUCGGGUCUUAAUUGACUUGGUAACGCAGCUAACGCGUGAAGUAGACCGCCUGGGGAGUACGGUCGCAAGAUUAAAACUCAAAGGAAUUGACGGGGACCCGCACAAGCGGUGGAUGAUGUGGAUUAAUUCGAUGCAACGCGAAAAACCUUACCUACCCUUGACAUGGCUGGAAUCCCGGAGAGAUUUGGGAGUGCUCGAAAGAGAACCAGUACACAGGUGCUGCAUGGCUGUCGUCAGCUCGUGUCGUGAGAUGUUGGGUUAGGUCCCGCAACGAGCGCAACCCUUGUCAUUAGUUGCUACGAAAGGGCACUCUAAUGAGACUGCCGGUGACAAACCGGAGGAAGGUGGGGAUGGCGUCAAGUCCUCAUGGCCCUUAUGGGUAGGGCUUCACACGUCAUACAAUGGUACAUACAGAGCGCCGCCAACCCGCGAGGGGGAGCUAAUCGCAGAAAGUGUAUCGUAGUCCGGAUUGUAGUCUGCAACUCGACUGCAUGAAGUUGGAAUCGCUAGUAAUCGCGGAUCAGCAUGUCGCGGUGAAUACGUUCCCGGGUCU